GACAGAGGCCUCAAGCGUUAGGCGGAAUCACUGGGCUUAAAGCGUGUGUAGGCGGAUCGUUAAGUGCCUUGUGAAAUCCCACUGCUUAACUGUGGAACGGCUGGGCAUACUGGCGGUCUUGAGCCAUCUAGGGGCGACUGGAACAAACGGUGGAGCGGUGAAAUGCGUAGAUAUCGUUUGGAACGCCAAUGGUGAAAACAGGUCGCUGGGGAUGAGCUGACGCUGAGACACGAAAGCCAGGGGAGCAAACGGG
This 253-nucleotide ribosomal RNA is filed under the name uncultured bacterium. Its description in RNAcentral is "partial 16S ribosomal RNA". It matches the Rfam family "Bacterial small subunit ribosomal RNA", at positions 524 to 776 of the family's 1533-position model. The record is from RNAcentral.